Molecule: non-coding RNA, 91 nt
Organism: Rhexocercosporidium sp. MPI-PUGE-AT-0058
Lineage: Eukaryota; Fungi; Ascomycota; Leotiomycetes; Helotiales
Source: the annotation of a GenBank genome assembly
GGUUUCAUGUUGCAGUGGUAGCACACACAUCUCUCAGACUGACUCACUAGCUGACUGUUGUGAAACACGGGUUCGACUCCCGUUGAAACUC